This 90-nucleotide transfer RNA is filed under the name Pseudellipsoidion edaphicum. RNAcentral describes it as "tRNA-Ser". It matches the Rfam family "tRNA". From Rfam's summary of the family: Transfer RNA (tRNA) molecules are approximately 80 nucleotides in length. Lineage: Eukaryota; Eustigmatophyceae; Eustigmatales; Neomonodontaceae. The record is from RNAcentral.
GGAGAGGUGGCUGAGAGGUCGAAAGCGGCAGAUUGCUAAUCUGUUGUACUCUUAAUUUGAGUACCAAGGGUUCGAAUCCCUUUCUCUCCU